This 253-nucleotide ribosomal RNA is filed under the name uncultured bacterium. RNAcentral describes it as "partial 16S ribosomal RNA". It matches the Rfam family "Bacterial small subunit ribosomal RNA", at positions 524 to 776 of the family's 1533-position model. The record is from RNAcentral.
UACAGAGGUCUCAAGCGUUGUUCGGAUUCAUUGGGCGUAAAGGGUGCGUAGGCGGCGCGGUAAGUCGGGUGUGAAAUCUCGGAGCUUAACUCCGAAACUGCAUUCGAUACUGCCGUGCUUGAGGACUGGAGAGGAGACUGGAAUUUACGGUGUAGCGGUGAAAUGCGUAGAUAUCGUAAGGAAGACCAGUGGCGAAGGCGGGUCUCCGGACAGUUCCUGACGCUGAGACACGAAGGCCAGGGGAGCAAACGGG